AAGCACAAAAUGAUGCAAAAAAACAGCGGUCCUUUCAUUGCUGAUUGUUCGGGACGUUUGACUUCCUUCUUCUUCUUCUUCUUUCAAAGCUGAAUAGGACCAUAACAGAUGUUGUUCACGUCUGUUCAAAAACAUGGCAAAGUAGCAUUCGUAUUCAGAAAAGAUAGAAAUGUAUAACUUGUUGGUUUGUCAAUUUUUAUGUUAAGAAAUCGUCUCCCAGACAAUGAACUUUACUUUCGCUCUUGGACUUGAUUACAUAAAUUAAACACUUACUGAUAUAACACA
Long non-coding RNA from Pocillopora damicornis (cauliflower coral), 285 nucleotides. RefSeq lists it as uncharacterized. Lineage: Eukaryota; Metazoa; Cnidaria; Anthozoa; Scleractinia; Pocilloporidae. The record is from RefSeq and is a predicted model, not a curated record.